GAGUUUGAUCUUGGCUCAGAACGAACGCUGGCGGCAUGCCUAACACAUGCAAGUCGAACGGGAUCCUGGUUUCGGCCAGGUGAGAGUGGCGGACGGGUGAGUAACGCGUGGGAACCUGCCCAGUGGUGGGGGAUAACUGCGGGAAACUGCAGCUAAUACCGCAUGAGCCCGAAAGGGGAAAGAUUCAUCGCCAUUGGAGGGGCCCGCGUUCGAUUAGGUAGUUGGUGGGGUAAUGGCCUACCAAGCCUGCGAUCGAUAGCUGGUCUGAGAGGAUGAUCAGCCACACUGGGACUGAGAUACGGCCCAGACUCCUACGGGAGGCAGCAGUGGGGAAUAUUGGACAAUGGGGGCAACCCUGAUCCAGCAAUGCCGCGUGAGUGAUGAA
This 385-nucleotide ribosomal RNA is filed under the name uncultured Alphaproteobacteria bacterium. Its description in RNAcentral is "bacterial SSU rRNA". It matches the Rfam family "Bacterial small subunit ribosomal RNA", at positions 9 to 412 of the family's 1533-position model. The record is from RNAcentral. Lineage: Bacteria; Pseudomonadati; Pseudomonadota; Alphaproteobacteria.